GACGAACGCUGGCGGCGUGCUUAACACAUGCAAGUCGAACGGAAAGGCCCCGUUGGUGGUACUCGAGUGGCGAACGCGUGAGUAACACGUAAGUAACCUUCCCUUAACUUCGGGAUAACGUCAGGAAACUGGGGCUAAUACCGGAAAGGAAUCCUUUCUUCAAGGUGGGGGUUGGAAAGUUUCGGCGGGUUUGGAUGUACUCUCUGCAUAGCAGCUUGUUGGUGUGGUAGUGUCUUACGAAGGCUUUGACGGGUAGCCGGCCUGAGAGGGCGACCUGCCAUAUUGGGACCGAGAUAAGGCACAGACACCUACGGGAGGGAGAAGGGGGGAAUAUUGCCCGAUGGGCGGAAGCCUGAUGAAGAAAGGCCGCGUGCGGGAUGACGGCCUUAGGGUUGUAAACCGAUUUCAGCAGGGGCGAAGCUUGUGGUGACGGUACCUGAAGAAGAAGCACCGGCUAACUACGUG
RNAcentral lists this ribosomal RNA (465 nucleotides) under uncultured bacterium. Its description in RNAcentral is "partial 16S ribosomal RNA". It matches the Rfam family "Bacterial small subunit ribosomal RNA", at positions 28 to 507 of the family's 1533-position model. The record is from RNAcentral.